This 262-nucleotide unclassified non-coding RNA is filed under the name Hevea brasiliensis (rubber tree). The record is from RNAcentral. Lineage: Eukaryota; Viridiplantae; Streptophyta; Magnoliopsida; Malpighiales; Euphorbiaceae.
GUCCGGUUCCCAUAAACCUGGCACCGAAGUCAAGAUUGGUGUUCGUGGGAAAUCCUACGAUGGGGUUGUGACGAAGAUGCCGUUCGUUCCUACCAAAUACUAUAAGCCGACAUAGUCCUUCUGCAUCUCCGAUUCUGUUCACAGUUAUUGACGAGUUAUGAAUGCUGUAAUUUGACGUUACUUCUGUAUGAGAAUUCCAAGUUGAAUCUGGAAGCACUUGUUCUUCCCCGGUUUCCAUUUUUUCAUGGCAUUUAAUUGUUUU